CAAUAGCGUAUAUUAAAGUUGUUGCAGUUAAAAAGCUCGUAGUUGAAUUUUUGGCUUGAUGGGAUGGUUCUCUCGAAAGGGAGUGACUGUUUUUGUUGGGCCAAGAGUGUAUUGAAGCCAGGUGCACUUUGUUGUGUGCGUGGGGGAGGUACAGGUUCACUUUGAAAAAAUUAGAGUGUUUAAGGCAGGCGAAGCUUGAAUACAUUAGCAUGGAAUGAUAGAAUAGGUCUUUGACUUUAUUUUGUUGGUUUCUAGAGUUGAGGAAAUGAUUAAGAGGAACAGUCGGGGGCACUCGUAUUUCAUUGUCAGAGGUGAAAUUCUUGGAUUUAUGAAAGACGAACUUCUGCGAAAGCAUUUGCCAAGGAUGUUUNCAUUAA
RNAcentral lists this ribosomal RNA (377 nucleotides) under uncultured eukaryote. RNAcentral describes it as "partial 18S ribosomal RNA". It matches the Rfam family "Eukaryotic small subunit ribosomal RNA", at positions 592 to 976 of the family's 1831-position model. The record is from RNAcentral.